Molecule: ribosomal RNA, 1224 nt
Filed under: Lactobacillus helveticus
Lineage: Bacteria; Bacillati; Bacillota; Bacilli; Lactobacillales; Lactobacillaceae
Description: bacterial SSU rRNA
Rfam family: Bacterial small subunit ribosomal RNA
Source: RNAcentral
CGGCUUACCAAGGCACUGAUGCAUAGCCGAGUUGCGAGACUGAUCGGCCCACAUUGGGACUGAGACACGGCCCAAACUCCUACGGGAGGCAGCAGUAGGGAAUCUUCCACAAUGGACGCAAGUCUGAUGGAGCAACGCCGCUUGAGUGAAGAAGGUUUCGGAUCGUAAAGCUCUGUUGUUGGUGAAGAAGGAUAGAGGUAGUAACUGGCCUUUAUUUGACGGUAAUCAACCAGAAAGUCACGGCUAACUACGUGCCAGCAGCCGCGGUAAUACGUAGGUGGCAGCGUUGUCCGGAUUUAUUGGGCGUAAAGCGAGCGCAGGCGGAAGAAUAAGUCUGAUGUGAAAGCCCUCGGCUUAACCGAGGAAUUGCAUCGGAAACUGUUUUUCCUUGAGUGCAGAAGAGGAAGAGUGGAAUUCCAUGUGUAGCGGUGGAAUGCGUAGAUAUAUGGAAGAACACCAGUGGCGAAGGCGACUCUCUGGUCUGCAACUGACGUGAGGCUCGAAAGCAUGGGUAGCGAACAGGAUUAGAUACCCCUGGUAGUCCAUGCCGUAAACGAUGAGUGCUAAGUGUUGGGAGGUUUCCGCCCCUCAGUGCUGCAGCUAACGCAUUAAGCACUCCGCCUGGGGAGUACGACCGCAAGGUUGAAACUCAAAGGAAUUGACGGGGGCCCGCACAGCGGUGGAGCAUGUGGUUUAAUUCGAAGCAACGCGAAGAACCUUACCAGGUCUUGACAUCUAGUGCCAUCCUAAGAGAUUAGGAGUUCCCUUCGGGGACGCUAGACAGGUGGUGCAUGGCGUCGUCAGCUCGUGUCGUGAGAUGUUGGGUUAAGUCCCGCAACGAGCGCAACCCUUGUUUUUAGUUGCCAGCAUUAAGUUGGGCACUCUAAUGAGACGCCGGUGAUAAACCGGAGGAAGGUGGGGAUGACGUCAAGUCAUCAUGCCCCUUAUGACCUGGGCUACACACGUGCUACAAUGGACAGUACAACGAGAAGCGAGCCUGCGAAGGCAAGCGAAUCUCUGAAAGCUGUUCUCAGUUCGGACUGCAGUCUGCAACUCGACUGCACGAAGCGGAAUCGCUGUAAUCGCGGAUCAGAACGCCGCGGUGAAUACGUUCCCGGGCCUUGUACACACCGCCCGUCACACACAGGGAAGUCUGCAAUGCCCAAAGCCGGUGGCCCUAACCUUCGGGAAGGAGCCGCUAAUGGGCCGGGGCAAGAAGGGUCU